GUAGGGAAUAUUGGGCAAUGGAGGCAACUCUGACCCAGCCAUGCCGCGUGCAGGACGAAGGCGCUCAGCGUUGUAAACUGCUUUUGCCCAAGAAGAAUGACAGGGGUGCGCCCUUGUGUGACGGUAUUGGGUGAAUAAGCACCGGCUAACUCCGUGCCAGCAGCCGCGGUAAUACGGAGGGUGCAAGCGUUGUCCGGAUUUAUUGGGUUUAAAGGGUGCGUAGGCGGAUCGAUAAGUCUGGUUUGAAAGCAGGUUGCUUAACAAUCUGAUGUGGCUGGAUACUGUCGAUCUUGAAAUUGUUGGAGGCAGCCGGAACGGGUCGUGUAGCGGUGAAAUGCAUAGAGAUGACCCAGAACACCAAUUGCGUAGGCAGGCUGCUACGACUGAUUUGACGCUGAGGCACGAGAGCAUGGGGAGCAAACAGGAUUAGAAACCCGUGUAGUCC
Molecule: ribosomal RNA, 445 nt
Filed under: uncultured bacterium
Lineage: Bacteria
Description: bacterial SSU rRNA
Rfam family: Bacterial small subunit ribosomal RNA
Source: RNAcentral